GAAAUGCGAUAAGUAAUGUGAAUUGCAGAAUUCAGUGAAUCAUCGAAUCUUUGAACGCACAUUGCGCCCAUUAGUAUUCUAGUGGGCAUGCCUGUUCGAGCGUCAUUUCAACCCUUAAGCCUAGCUUAGUGUUGGGAAUCUACUUCUCUUAGGAGUUGUAGUUCCUGAAAUACAACGGCGGAUUUGUAGUAUCCUCUGAGCGUAGUAAUUUUUUUCUCGCUUUUGUUAGGUGCUAUAACUCCCAGCCGCUAAACCCCCAAUUUUUUGUGGUUGACCUCGGAUCAGGUAGGAAUACCCGCUGAACUUAA
Molecule: unclassified non-coding RNA, 308 nt
Filed under: uncultured fungus
Lineage: Eukaryota; Fungi
Description: sequence contains ITS1
Rfam family: 5.8S ribosomal RNA (bases 1-105)
Source: RNAcentral